UACGGAGGGGGCGAGCGUUAUUCGGAAUUAUUGGGCGUAAAGGGCGCGUAGGCGGCCUUGUAAGUCAAAGGUGAAAUCCCUCGGCUCAACUGAGGAACUGCCUUUGAAACUGCAAGGCUUGAGGCCGGGAGGGGGUAGCGGAAUUCCCAAUGUAGCGGUGAAAUGCGUAGAUAUUGGGAGGAACACCAGUGGCGAAGGCGGCUACCUGGACCGGUUCUGACGCUGAGGCGCGAAAGCGUGGGGAGCAAACAGG
Molecule: ribosomal RNA, 253 nt
Filed under: uncultured bacterium
Lineage: Bacteria
Description: partial 16S ribosomal RNA
Rfam family: Bacterial small subunit ribosomal RNA
Source: RNAcentral